UUUUAUGUCCCUUCACGGUCUCCGUAAUAAAAUGGCUAUCUAUACGAGACGGUAAACUACAUGCUACACCUAUAUGCGUUGUUAUUCGUUUUACCAAAGACCAGCUGCUGGUCAAGAAGUUGACAUCACAGGCAUGGCUUCCAAAGUGUAUAUUAUUGAAUUAGAAGAUGGUAAAGAUAACUCUAAUAAAGACAAGGAAGGUGAUUUGUGUAAGAACAGGUGUAAGAACAGGUGCAGGUGUAAGAACAGGUGCAGGUGUAUGAACAUGUGUAAGACGAGAUGCAAGUAUAUGUACAUUUGUAUGUUUCGGUUGUUAUAUGUGCUGACAUAUCUUCUCACCGUGUAUGCCUUGGCGUCAACGUCUUUCCAGUCCGUAUGUUUUAUUCAGGCUUUCAAUUUGUCCUGUUUUUCUGAUCGUACAUGUCUGGAUGUGUAUGUUCCUAAUUCAUGUAAGUUGUCGAAAAAGGAAUACAAGUUACCAAGAACACAUUGUAACUUCUCUGCUAAUAAUUAGUCUUGUUGGACUGAUGAUAGUUGGUUUCCUGUUGAUUUUCGGACUGCCUGAUCCCAUACUCGAAUCUCGAGAUGCACAGACCUUGUGUUACAUAAAAAAUGCGUUCUAUUUCUACUUGGUCAUAUUAAUUGGUAUUGACUCCGUAUUGGCAGUUAUCCUCAUCCUCCGGAAAAGGGGUCUACUGUGUAAUACUAUCACCGAAAAAAAACUUGUGUUGAAACAACACAAACUUGUGUUAAAUGUUGAAACAACACAAAACUUGUGUUAAAAUUUAUCAAACAACACAAACUUGUGUGAAAAUCUACACAUUACUUGUGUUGAAAUUUCUGAAACUUGUGUUGAAAUUUCUGAAACUUGUGUUGAAAUUUCUGAAACUUGUGUUGAAAUUUCUGAAACUUGU
Patella vulgata (common limpet) is the source of this 914-nucleotide long non-coding RNA. RefSeq lists it as uncharacterized. The transcript is spliced from 6 exons. Lineage: Eukaryota; Metazoa; Mollusca; Gastropoda; Patellidae. The record is from RefSeq and is a predicted model, not a curated record.